This 7698-nucleotide long non-coding RNA is filed under the name Brassica napus (rape). Its description in RNAcentral is "long non-coding RNA (BNAP_LNC005264)". The record is from RNAcentral. Lineage: Eukaryota; Viridiplantae; Streptophyta; Magnoliopsida; Brassicales; Brassicaceae.
AGUGCCUCAGAGACAUACUGGGGAGGGCCUUAACAUUCCAGCAGAAACUUUCAAGGUUUAAUUUCUCAUCAAAGCAUCAGUCAUUCACCUUAACCAGAGCUUCCCCUUCCAGAUUUUGCAGAGCAGGUAAUCUCUCUGUAUAUUUACGUUUAAGCACUCCAAGCAUUAUUGUGUUAUGUAUACCCAUACUCCUCCACAUGGAGGUGAUGAAAACACCGGCAAUGAUGUUCCAGGAGCUAUAUAUAGAGAUACUUCUGAAGCUCUUUAAAGAGGUGCUCCAGUCAACAACGGCGGACCCAUUACUCAUGUCAUGGUGAAAGGCAAGAAACAGCCUCUAAACCUACCAAAAACCAUGUUCGCAAUGGUUAAGCUUCAGAUUACUGGAGCCUAAUGGAAUGUUGCAGACUUCCACAACUGCUUUUUGUCGUUUUCUUAAAAAAAAUCUUUAAUAAAUGUGUACUUGAGCUAUUUGGCUCUGUAUUUCAGAUGACUUAGAAAAGAGCCUCCUACAGUUAUUUAUGUGUACUUGAGCUAUUUGGCUAUGUAUUUCAAAUGACUUAUAAAAUAGACUCCUUCAACUAAUUUAUAUUUGCUUACACUUUUCAAGUGUAUUAAACGAAUAACUGGUAACAGAGUCAAAUAUAUUGUUUCACCUGCUAGCUGAUUCGUUAAAAUGUCUUUUAAUAGUUGUAUGAAUUGUUAAAAUCUAACCUUAGCUAUUUUGACCCGUUUUAAAGUGCAUGUAACAUCUCUUCUUAAACACACGUCCACUACAAGAAAGCUAUGUUUAUGUCCUUUUGCUGAUAUUUUUAACCAAAGAACUGGUAAGAGAUACAAAUAUAUUGCAAUUCCUUCGUGACGUCUUACAUAUAGAAAAGUAUAACAACUCCUUCUCAUCAUAUUAUCGAUAAUUUGUAUUAAAACAGUGAGAGCAAAAUACAUUCCCAGACUCAACCACGUUGUAUCUUAGGGUCACACGGCAUAUCACACUCUCUGUGAUAAAAAUAUCUAUGUUGUAGAGCAACUUGCGACAAAAUAAUACUCUGUCCAUGAGGUUCCUUUGUGUACGUUUUUUCUUAAGCGGGCCAAUGAAAAAUAAUCAUCAUAUACUAAAAGGGAUAUAUGAGGAGUAGGGAGGCUGUCCACGUCACCACAAAAAAUCGACCAAUAAUAGUCAUUUGUUUUGCCACGUCAUCAGUAUUUGUCCCGAGAAGGAACUUACGGGAAGGUUUACAGACCCAGAGAGAAAACUACUGGAAAGAUCGUCGCUCUCAAGAAGACGCGUCUCCAUGAAGACGAAGAAGGCGUUCCUUCCAUCACUCUCCGCGAGAUCUCCAUCUUACGCAUGCUCGCUCGCGAUCCUCACAUCGUCAGGUUCGGAUUCCUUCUCUCACUCUCUCUAUUGGAGUUGCAUUAGGGUUUCGUAUAGCAUAGUGUUCGUUUCGUUAGAUCCCGAUUUCGUAUUGCUUGGUUGAUUCGUUAGAUUGGAGAUGAUUGAUCUCAAUUAGGAUUUUGGAUGAUCAAUUAGGAUUCUGGAGAUGAUUCGUAGAGUUGAUAGAUCUCAAUUAGGAUUCUGGAUGAUAAACCACUGCAUCUUGAUCCUCAGUAUCUGUUAGUUUCAUCUAUUUGCUUUUCUGAUUGUUGAUUUUCUUCAGGUUGAUGGAUGUUAAGCAAGGACUGAGCAAAGAUGGCAAAACUGUGCUCUACCUGGUGUUCGAGUACAUGGACACUGACGUCAAGAAGUACAUCAGAAGUUUCCGUCAAACCGGAGACAACAUUCCUCUCCAAAUCAUCAAGAUCUUGAUGUACCAACUCUGCAAAGGAAUCGCGUUCUGCCAUGGACACGGUGUGCUGCACAGGUAUAUAAUGUUUACAAGUGAUAAUGAUUUAAGAGAGAGAUCUUACUACUUUCUCUUGGUUUCGUUAACAGAGAUCUUAAGCCUUACAAUCUCUUGAUGGAUCCCAAGACGAUGAGGCUCAAGAUUGCAGAUCUUGGUUUAGCCAGAGCCUUCACUCUCCCUAUGAAGAAGUAUACCCAUGAGGUAAUAAUCUCUGUUGAUCUGUUUGAGCUCAAUGUCAUUGUAUCUGGUUCUAAACUGGUUGUUUUCCAUUGCAACAGAUAGUGACUCUAUGGUAUAGAGCUCCAGAAGUUCUUCUUGGUGCCACUCAUUACUCUACAGCUGUUGAUAUGUGGUCUGUUGGCUGCGUUUUUGGUACGUUUUACUCACUUCAAUAUCAAUUUUCACUUAUAAAAACUACAGAUAGUGACUCUAACGUUGUUUCUUUGACAUUGACAGCUGAGCUUGUGACCAACCAAGCGAUUCUUGCUGGGGACUCUGAGCUCCAACGUCCUCACCAUCACUCUCACUUAAACUUCUUAAUCAGACUUGAAAAAAUUCUUCGGUAACGUCUUCUUCCGAUUUGUUGCGUAAUCAGCCUUCGACGCUCUCCGUCUGGGUAGAUCGUCGCAGUUCAUUGUUGCUUGGCUUCUCCGUUUAUGGGACUCGGAAAACAUCAAGAAGUAUGGUAAAUUCAUGGGUAUCACUCUACUUCUCCUUGAUGAGAAGGUAUUGUAUCGAAAAAAGAGAAGAUUAUGUACUUUCGUUUUUUUGGUCGCUAUAUGUUUCAGAUUGUCUCUCAUCACACUGCAAGAAACUAUAUGAAGUCAAAGAAGGCAAAUAAGAGUUUGAUUUCAAGGUGGUCACCGAGACCGUUCCAAAAUGAGCGUGAUUAUGUCCCGUUGAGCUCUAUGGCUUGGCCAAAGACGAGUCUGAUUACGGAUGAUACACAACAAGGUAAGUAAGCGUACAAGUGGAUUUAUUUUUAUGAAUCAGAAUUUUAAGAAGAAUUUAAUCUGUUUAAUUUUUUAUAUUAUAGCUUCAAGAUAGAUAACAGUGACCUUCGAUAAAGGAGGCAAGCCUACUGUUAGAGUUGCUAGCCUUGGCCACGCGUUGCAUGUCUGGCUCAAUUGAGAAUACCUUGGUAAGAUGUGAGAUUGAGAAGGUGCAUAGCUAGAUGUUCUCACAAAAAUUAUGUGCUAACAAAAACAUUCAAGUUUGAUGAUGAAAUAUGUGAUUUUCUUGUGUGUGAACAGGAUAGUGUGUCUUAUCUGGAGCAUAGAUUCACAUGUCACACGUAGUGUUUCCAUCUUAGGGUUGAGCUCUGGACCACUUGAUCUCACUGAGAAAAACAAAUGGGGAAACAAGGUUUGUCAUGAAUCGUACUUUCUCAACCUCCAAGGCAAUUUUGAUCUGUUUUUUUUUUCAAAUUUGUAGGUGGGUAUUGAAGGCUAGAAGCUCUAUAUUCACACGAGAAAGGAUAGAAGAAGGUUAAGUGGCAGAAAUUCUCAUGAAAAGCACCAGGAUUUACCUGGUAUCAGGUGGAGUUACUAAAUCUUUUCAGAAUUGAAAAGAUAUAUUUGUCAUUUAGAUAGCAAGAUGUGAUCUAAUGAACAAUAUUUGAAAUAUCUGUUGCAGGCAUGCGCCAGGAGUUUAGUAAUAUUAAGUUUUCUUUUUCCAUCUGAAGAAGAUUCUUUAACGAAAUAAGGAAAAUAAAUAAGUAUGUAUUCCUCUUAGUAUCACUAGACAUGAAAAUAAAAAAUUUGUGCUCACUUCACCACCACAGGUUAGUUUAUAUCUAACUUAGCACCAACAUCUUAUGCUCAUUUGGUAUUCCUCUUACUGUCACUAGAUAUUAUAGACUGCAUACUGGGAAAGUUGAUAACUCUGAAACAUCACAUGAGUGGUGCUAUAUCUCAUGCUCCAAGAGCUCCUGGAAACUGCGGCGUGGGCUUUCAUCUUUCGUGUGUGGAUCAUAUCAUGAUGAAAAAGCUGUUGGCAUUGUAAGGUAAUCUAUGAUGCAAUUGGUUUCAUACAUGAUUUAGGUAUGCUCACACAAAAAAAACCAGUUUAACCCUUACACCUAACCAGUCGUCUCUCUCUUUGAUGACAAGUACCGGGUGGAGAUGGCAGUAUCAGAUGCAUCCGACUCUGCUCUGUUUGUGGCUUUCGAUGCUGAGAUGAACAAGCUGAUCAAUGUUCCUGCUGCAUGAGUGUCUCAAGGCAUGGUAACAUCAAUCAAUUGGCCUCUGUUAUUUGUGUGUAGCUUUAGUAAAAUUGAAAGGACUGUUUAGUUAUUUGUGAUUGUCCAACAGGGCACCAGCAUGGAGGAUGCACAUAACAUUGCUUUCCCACAGUGCCUCAGAGACAUACUGGGGAGGGCCUAUAUCUAACCUAUACUAAAAGGGUUAUAUGAGCAUUAGAGAAGUUGUCCACGUAUGACAAUUAAAUCAGCCAAUCAGGAGAUUUUUUUUUGACACGUCAGAUACGCAUGACAAAUUCUAAUUUUCCCAAAAUCGAAUCUCGAUCCCUUUCUCUUCGUCUUCUCCGUCUGCUAUUUUAGAUAGAAACUGACGGGAUUUAAUAAGAACAACAUCGUUGGGUGAGAAAACCAUUAUUAGGGGUAAAUUUUAUUCUUCGAGCAGUUUCCCUUCAUUCAACCUCCCAAAAUUAAAAAAAAAAGAAUUAUUGGCGACGCACAGGGACAAGAAGAGGUCAACAAAUCUGCCUCGAAGAUUUGAGAAAAAGGUCCAUAUAAUGAGACAGCGACGAUAUACCGCUGACUAGAACGCCCCUUCUUCUACAGGUGAAGGGAUGCUGCAGCCACGGGCAUGGAAGCUGCGUUUUGUAAACUCGCCACCACCGAUGAUAUUUACGUUUACCAGGAUCGAGGCGGAGGAUGGUUCUCCAAUAGCAAUCGAGCUCCUCGAUGCCGCCACAAACGCCCGAGUCACCUCCGACUUGCGGCUCGAGAUCGUAACGCUGCUGAUAUCGCCGAGGAAAGCUUCACCACCGAGGAGUUUAACAGGAAUAUUCUCCGACCACGGGAAGGGAAACCACCAUUGCUCGCCGGAGACCUGACUGUGACGCUUGAAGACGGGGUCGGAGUAGUCAGCGGCGACGUCACUUUCACAGAAAAUUCGAGCUGGACGAGAUGCAGGUUAGGUGCUAAAGUUAGACAACAAGGAGGAGUUGUGGAGGCCAUAAGUAGAGCGUUCGUGUGCAGAGAUCGUCCAAGAGGAGAGUGUGAGUAAAUUCAUAGUUUAGAAGACUUUAUUUUCACCCGCAUUUGGUAAAUCAAUUUUGAUUAUGCAGCUUAUUCUGAUUCUAAGGUACACGACAUGACCAAACACGGAGUUAAAGAAUCUCUUGAUGGAUCCCAAGACGAUGAGGCUCAAGAUUGCAGAUCUUGGUUUAGCCAGAGCCUUCACUCUCCCUAUGAAGAAGUAUAACCAUGAGGUAAUAAUCUCUGUUGAUCUGUUUGAGCUCAAUGUCAUUGUAUCUGGUUAUAAACUGGUUCUUUUCCAUUGCAACAGAUAUUGACUCUAUGGUAUAGAGCUCCAGAAGUUCUUCUUGGUGCCACUCAUUACUCUACAGCUGUUGAUAUGUGGUCUGUUGGCUGCGUUUUUGGUACGUUUUACUCACUUCAAUAUCAAUUUUCACUUAUAAAAACUACAGAUAGUGACUCUAACGUUGUUUCUUUGACAUUGACAGCUGAGCUUGUGACCAACCAAGCGAUUCUUGCUGGGGACUCUGAGCUCCAACGUCCUCACCAUCACUCUCACUUAAACUUCUUAAUCAGACUUGAAAAAAUUCUUCGGUAACGUCUUCUUCCGAUUUGUUGCGUAAUCAGCCUUCGACGCUCUCCGUCUGGGUAGAUCGUCGCAGUUCAUUGUUGCUUGGCUUCUCCGUUUCUGGGACUCGGAAAACAUCAAGAAGUAUGGUAAAUUCAUGGGUAUCACUCUACUUCUCUUUGAUGAGAAGGUAUUGUAUCCAAAAAAGAGAAGAUUAUGUACUUUCGUUUUUUUGGUCGCUAUAUGUUUCAGACUGUCUCUCAUCACACUGCAAGGAACUAUAUGAAGUCAAAGAAGGCAAAUAAGAGUUUGAUUUCAAGGUGGUCACCGAGACCGUUCCAAAAUGAGCGUGAUUAUGUCCCGUUGAGCUCUAUGGCUUGGCCAAAGACGAGUCUGAUUACGGAUGAUACACAACAAGGUAAGUAAGCGUACAAGUGGAUUUAUUUUUAUGAAUCAGAAUUUUAAGAAGAAUUUAAUCUGUUUAAUUUUUAUAUUUAUAGCUUCAAGAUAGAUAACAGUGACCUUCGAGAAAGGAGGCAAGCCUACUGUUAGAGUUGCUAGCCUUGGCCACGCGUUGCAUGUCUGGCUCAAUUGAGAAUACCUUGGUAAGAUGUGAGAUUGAGAAGGUGCAUAGCUAGAUGUUCUCACAAAAAUUAUGUGCUAACAAAAACAUUCAAGUUUGAUGAUGAAAUAUGUGAUUUUCUUGUGUGUGAACAGGAUAGUGUGUCUUAUCUGGAGCAUAGAUUCACAUGUCACACGUAGUGUUUCCAUCUUAGGGUUGAGCUCUGGACCACUUGAUCUCACUGAGAAAAACAAAUGGGGAAACAAGGUUUGUCAUGAAUCGUACUUUCUCAACCUCCAAGGCAAUUUUGAUCUGUUUUUUUUUUCAAAUUUGUAGGUGGGUAUUGAAGGCUAGAAGCUCUAUAUUCACACGAGAAAGGAUAGAAGAAGGUUAAGUGGCAGAAAUUCUCAUGAAAAGCACCAGGAUUUACCUGGUAUCAGGUGGAGUUACUAAAUCUUUUCAGAAUUGAAAAGAUAUAUUUGUCAUUUAGAUAGCAAGAUGUGAUCUAAUGAACAAUAUUUGAAAUAUCUGUUGCAGGCAUGCGCCAGGAGUUUAGUAAUAUUAAGUUUUCUUUUUCCAUCUGAAGAAGAUUCUUUAACGAAAUAAGGAAAAUAAAUAAGUAUGUAUUCCUCUUAGUAUCACUAGACAUGAAAAUAAAAAAUUUGUGCUCACUUCACCACCACAGGUUAGUUUAUAUCUAACUUAGCACCAACAUCUUAUGCUCAUUUGGUAUUCCUCUUACUGUCACUAGAUAUUAUAGACUGCAUACUGGGAAAGUUGAUAACUCUGAAACAUCACAUGAGUGGUGCUAUAUCUCAUGCUCCAAGAGCUCCUGGAAACUGCGGCGUGGGCUUUCAUCUUUCGUGUGUGGAUCAUAUCAUGAUGAAAAAGCUGUUGGCAUUGUAAGGUAAUCUAUGAUGCAAUUGGUUUCAUACAUGAUUUAGGUAUGCUCACACAAAAAAAACCAGUUUAACCCUUACACCUAACCAGUCGUCUCUCUCUUUGAUGACAAGUACCGGGUGGAGAUGGCAGUAUCAGAUGCAUCCGACUCUGCUCUGUUUGUGGCUUUCGAUGCUGAGAUGAACAAGCUGAUCAAUGUUCCUGCUGCAUGAGUGUCUCAAGGCAUGGUAACAUCAAUCAAUUGGCCUCUGUUAUUUGUGUGUAGCUUUAGUAAAAUUGAAAGGACUGUUUAGUUAUUUGUGAUUGUCCAACAGGGCACCAGCAUGGAGGAUGCACAUAACAUUGCUUUCCCACAGUGCCUCAGAGACAUACUGGGGAGGGCCUUAACAUUCCAGCAGAAACUUUCAAGGUUUAAUUUCUCAUCAAAGCAUCAGUCAUUCACCUUAACCAGAGCUUCCCCUUCCAGAUUUUGCAGAGCAGGUAAUCUCUCUGUAUAUUUACGUUUAAGCACUCCAAGCAUUAUUGUGUUAUGUAUACCCAUACUCCUCCACAUGGAGGUGAUGAAAACACCGGCAAUGAUGUUCCAGGAGCUAUAUAUAGAGAU